RNAcentral lists this long non-coding RNA (334 nucleotides) under Carica papaya (papaya). RNAcentral's name for it is "long non-coding RNA (CPAP_LNC007715)". Lineage: Eukaryota; Viridiplantae; Streptophyta; Magnoliopsida; Brassicales; Caricaceae. The record is from RNAcentral.
ACACACUUCAUACUAGAUAAUAGAAAAAAUCAAAUAAAUCACGAAAUGCUCAUAUUUGUGUGUCAUACUUCGCGAAGCCGUUACAACUUCCAUCUCUAAAGGCAGAUACAGAUUUCUAACUACCUAUGUGAAAUUACCAGAUCAGAUACAAAUAACGGCAAUUUACUCAGGCACAUUUCUAGCUUGCCAAACCAUGGUACGAUUUAUGACCACAGUUCUACCAAUAUCAGUUAGCCAAAGAUGACCCCUAACAGAUAUUCGUGUCACCACUCUUGUUAGAGGGUUUGCCGUAAUCCAUAGGGGGUCUUUCUAGACCAGAUAGAGGAGGGGAAAC